RNAcentral lists this long non-coding RNA (1310 nucleotides) under Equus caballus (horse). RNAcentral describes it as "lncRNA (ENSECAG00000051716.1)". The record is from RNAcentral. Lineage: Eukaryota; Metazoa; Chordata; Mammalia; Perissodactyla; Equidae.
GACAAAGGGGUGAGAAGGCAGCACGAAAGCCUGCAUGGCCACGCCAGCUGCCUCGGUGGGCAACUGGAGCUCUGCCAUCAGAGACUCUGGGCCACGGUGCAAACGCACACGGGAAGUGACCCACCCAAGGGGCAGGCGAAGGAGCUGGGUCCUUAUGCAUCGACUCCUAUCAGUUAUUGGAGGAGGGGUGGAGGAGGGGUGGAGGUAUGAAGUCCCGGGCGCUCCUGGCCUGCCACAGCCCCACACAAGUCCUCAGGCUCAAGUCGCAGAUCCUGGCUGUAGCGUCUCAAAAUGGUCACGUCCAAGAGAAAAAGUCAGGGCGCCAGCACCAUCGGAUUCAGUCCCUAAGGGACCUGGCCCAACCUCUCCUAUGGUUCCAAAUACCUCCGGAGGCUUCAGACUUCCACCCACCAUCUCCGUCUCCAGCUCUACAGCAAACCACCUGCCGACAGCCCACACCUUCCGAGGGGCUGGCAAGAGCACCGUAAAGAUGAAAAGAAACCCAGGUGGACAGUCCCCUCCCCUAAAUAGCCAAAAUUAAAGAGACCGACAACAUUGAGCAUUGGUUAGGAUGGGGACCCCCUGGAAUUCCCAUGCAUUGAUGGUGGCAGCGCAAAUUGCAGAGCGGAGCAGCCACUCUGGAAUCCUGUUUAGCCUGAUCCACUGGAGCCAACCAUGCCUACGCCAUGUCCCCACCCCUCUCCUCCUAGGUGGGUGCCCCAGAGGAAUAACUCUCUCCAUCCCCACUGAAAGAUGUGUGCUAGAAUGUUCACGGCGGCUUUACUCGUAACAGCCAAAACUGGAAAUGAUUUAAAUGCCCUUCCAGAAGAGAAUGGGUGAAUAAGUUGUGCUGUGUUCAUACAAAGGGAUACCACACAGCGUUGAAAGGAGGGAACUGCUGAUCCACAUGGAUGAGCCUCACAGACACGAUGGCCAGGGGAAGGCAGUCUAACGCAACGUCAGGGGACCGACUUACAACCCCAUUUACAUGAAGUUCAAAAACAGGAAAAACUGACGAAUGGUGCUCGAAGUCAGACACAGGUUGUCUCUGGGGGGAUAUUGACUGAGAAGCGGCCUGUGGGACCUCUGCGGGCUGCAGGUGUUCAACAUUGCCGUCUGCGUGGCGGUUACUGGGAGAGAGAUAGGUGGGUAGGUAGACAUAUAGGUAGAUGAUAGAUAGAUAGAUGGAUAGAUAGAUGGAUAGAUAAAUGGAGGAAUAGAUAGAUAGAUGGAUAGGUAGACAGACACAGAUGAUAGAUGAUAGAUAGAUAGAUAGAUAGAUGGAUAGAUAGGUAGAUAAAUAGACAGAU